Oryctolagus cuniculus (rabbit) is the source of this 13433-nucleotide non-coding RNA. The record is from RefSeq and is a predicted model, not a curated record. NCBI's taxonomy places the organism in Eukaryota, Metazoa, Chordata, Mammalia, Lagomorpha, Leporidae.
UGUAUCAUUUAUUUUCUUUUAUUAUUUAUUUUCUUUUAUUAUUCAAACAUUUGUUGAGUCCUCAUUGAUAUUUUUAGGCAGUGUAAGAGUUCUCUAUUUUAUGGGAGGAGGCUGAUGACCAGUGAAAAACAACAAGAGAACCAAGGACAAAUUUGGGAAAGCCAAUAUUUAAGGGAAGGGACAGGAAAGAACAAUGUUGCAAAAGCCAGGCCAUUACAGUUUUGAUAAUAACACAAGGACUCUGGUUUUCACAUUAACCUUUUGUCAUAUCAUGAGAAUGUUUUUUUCCACGGUGAUGCAUAAUGCGAGUAGUUUUGCUGAUUGCUUUAUCUUCCAUCAUCUUGGUAUAACUCGAUUGACUUAACAGUACAUUCUUUCAUUUAACAAACACUUAUUGAAUGUUGCUAUGGUUUGGAUGUGAUUGCUGCCCCAAAGGUUCGUGUGUGGGAAGCUUGAGUAGCCCCUGUGUGGUGACAUCAAGAGAUGGUGGGACCUGUAAGAGGUGAGCUCUUCCUCUUCCACACGCGAUGCCAUGAGGUCCCCGCCAGAGCUGAGCCCGUGCCGGUGCCGUGCCCCGGAAGCUCCAAAACUGUGAGCUAAGGAAACCCCUCAUCUGAGUAAGGAUCCCUCUGGCUGUUAACAAGAAGCCUGUGGGGGAGGCAGAGAGACCAGCUGGAGGCUACCAGCCCUGCGGGCAGAGAUCAGGAUGCUGUGACCAGGGCAGGAAGCAGCGGUUCUCUUCACAGGGGCUGCACUGGGAAUGAGCCGUCUCAGCUCUGCUGCAGGAGAGGACUCAGCUGCCACCGAAGCAGGCGAUGUGGAUGCUGCCAGUCUGACGCACCUGUUUCAAUGCUGCCAUUUCUGAGUUUGCUGCCGUGCUGUUCUUUAAACAUGAAACAUUUUAAACCCACCAAGCUGUAAGGGAGACUAUCACAAACACCCUGUGCUCACUAUUAGGAUUGAAGAGACAUAGAAAAAUUGUCACCUUGGCUUCUGUCCCAAUUUAUGAUUAUCAAAUGCUGAUAGCCGACAUCUCUGAUUCUCAUGCCUUUCAUGUCCCUUGCCGUCUGUCUCUUUCCCUGCCCUCGACAUCAUUGCAUUUCUAACACCUUCAGUCUUCUUCCAUUCUCUGUAUUCAUUCCCUGAUUUGUGUAGUCAACUAAAAAGGCAAGUGUCUGUUCUAUGUCAGGGGUAGGACUUGUGGAAUGAGGAUCAGGGAGUGGCCGAGACUAAGUGAGGAUCUUGGGAAUUUUUUACACAUGACUGUUUAAUAUUUUGAUUUUUAAUCGAAUUAUCAAUGUUCCCAAGGCCUUUUGCAUGGAUCAAGGCAAGCACAUCUGAAUGCCAUGUGCGUAAUCGCAGAGCCAGGCCGUGGCCAGCCUGCUUUUCCAAGCCUUCUUGCUUUCUUCUUGCAUCUUGCAUCCUGUUUCAUUCAUUGGUAAACUUGUUUUCCUUUCUCUGCAGAAUCACAGAGUCAGCCUGUCAUGAAGGUUGUGCAUAUUUUCAAAGAAACAGCUGUGCCAAUUCUUCUCUUCCUUGCAAUAAUUCUUCCUCUUACCUCUUUCCUGACUUUUCACCAAACGCUGCCUACUAUGAAAUAUGAAGAUAUUUCAAAAAAUUUAUGGAAAAAUGGAACUCAAAGCUAAAUUUAUUCUAGUGCAAAAAUUUGAAGUCCAUCCAUAAGGUUUUUUUUUUUUUAAAGAUUUAUUUAUUUACUUGAAAGGUAGGGUUACAGAGAGGUGGAGGGAGAGAGAGGUCUUCCAUCUGCUGGUUCACUCCCCAGCUGGCCACAACGGCCAGAGCUGCACUGAUCCAAAGCCAGGAGCCAGGAGCUUCUUCCAGAUCUCCCAUGUGAGUGCAGAGGCCCAAAGAUUUGGAACAUCUUCCACUGCUUUCCCAGGCCAUAGCAGAGAGCUGGAUCGGAAGUGGAGCAACUGGAACUUGAACUGCACCCAUAUGGGAUUCUGGCACUGCAGGCGGUGGCUUUACCCACUGUGCCACAGAAGUGGCCCAGGUUUUUCCAUUAUGCAUAUUUUCCAUGAAUUUUUAAAGUAUCCUUGCACAAGGUAUCUGAUAAAUGUUCUGAUAAAUGCACAAGGCAUCCAAUAAAUAAGGCUGCCUAUCAUAGCCCUUAGGAAUGAGCAUUCUUGGGGGCUGGCAUUGUGGUGUAGUGGGUUAGGCUCCCAGCUGUGACACCAGCAUCACAUAUGGGUUCCAGUUUGAGUCCUGAAUGCUCCACUUCCCAUCCAGCUCUCUACUAAUGUGGCUGGAUAGGCGGCAGAAGAUGGCCCAAGUGCUUGGGCCCCUGCCCUCCUACUUGGGAGACCUGGCUCCAGUUGGUGCAGCCAUCUGGGGAGUGAAUCAGAGGAUGGAAGUUCUCUCUGUCUCUUCUCUCUCUCUCUAACUCUUCCUUUCAAAUAAAUAAAAUAGAAUGAAAGAAUGAGCAUGCUAGGCAUCUGACAGACCUAGGCUGUUGUCAAUUUCUUAUGGCUGCCUUCACGAAUUGCCACAAAUGAGAUGACUUGAAACAACAAAUAUACUUUCUAAUAAUUCUGGAGACUAGAAAUCCUAAAUGGGCAGAACCAUCCAUUUCUGAAAGCUGUAGAGGAGGAUUUUCCUUGGCUUUUCCUAGCUUUUCAUGGCUGCCGGGGGUCCUGGGCAUGUGGCUUAGAACACCAGUCCCCAUCUCCAUCCUCACUUAGCCUUCUCCCCAUGUUUGCUCCCAUGUUUUUGUGUCCAAAUUUUGUUCUUCUAAAGACACCAGUCAUUGGAUUUAAGGCCCUCCCCAAACCCCUAUUAUCUCAUAUAACUUGAUUGUGUUUGUAAAGACAUUCUUUUCAAAUUAGGCCACAUUCUGGGCCUUGGGCCUCUAGUGGAUGUGAAUUUUGGGGAGGUGCUAUCCAAUACAAUUGGAUUCUGGAUUUGCUAAUUAUUAGCUGUGUGAUCUUAGAACAAUUAAUAAGCAAUCAAUUGGGGUAUGCAUUGGUAUAUCAGCUUAAGUCACUGCUUGGGAUGCCCACAUCCCAUAUUGAAGUGUCCGAUUUGCGUCCUGGCAAUUCCACUGCCAAUCCAGAUUCCUGCUAAUAUGCAUAAUAUGUAUCUUGGGAGGCAGCAGACGAAGCUCAAGUACUUGAGUUCUUGCCGCCCGUGUGAAAGACCCAGUUGGAGUUCCAGGCUCCUGGUUAUGGCCUAGUCUAGUCCUGGCUGUUGCUGGGAACUAAACCAGCAGAUCAGCAUGAGAUGGUGUUAACAUUCUGUUAAGUGGUUAGAGCAGGUCUGAUAAAUCCUGUAGUUGGUUCUAUGUCAAUGUUUGAAUAAAGAGAAUUUAAAACAUAAGAAUUUUUUAUGACAGUAGGAUCAAAGAAUUACAUGCAUUUUUGCUAAGUAGUUAUUUUACAUUGAAUUAUAAAUGUUUCUACAGUGGAUUUUUAAAAAUAGAAUGCUUCAUCUUAAAUUGGAAAACUAAUAAUAUUGGACUUUAAAAUUUUUAUACUAAGGCACUUAUUGCAGUUAUUUUUGAAAAAUAAACUUGAUGAAAGUCUCUUUCUUUGCCUCUGCCUUUCAAAUAAAAGGAAAAUUAAACAAUAAAAAAUGUAAAAAGCUUUCAAUAAAGAUAGCUGUUAUAGGAAUGUGGAAGGAGGGUAGAAGAAACCAUUUCUAACUGAUAAGACAAUAUAAAAGGAGGAUUUAAUCUAGGUAGGAGGAUUUCAAUAGGUGGAGCUUUAAUUGCUACUUAAUGAUUUAUUCCAAACUUCCUGCCAGAUACCAGAUGCUGUGUUGAGCAACAAAUUCUAUUCCAAGUGAUCCUAAAUGAUAAAUUUGCUAUAAAUAGUUGGAAGAAAAAUGUAGCCCAUUCUGAGACAGGAUUCCUGAGUUUAUUGGCAAGAAAACAUGUGGUGAAAUUCAGGUAUUUCAACACUUUGUGAAGAGUCUAGUAAAUCCUAUCUCCAGGAGUGGCUCCCAGAUUUAGGAAGGAGGGAUCAGGAGGGGCAGGGCAGUGGGUAUGGGCCUGGGCAAAAGCUCUAAGAACAUUUCAAGUGCACCCCAAAACUAGGGGUGCUGGUGCGGGAGACUGUGAGGAGGGGUCCCUCCCUCUGCAUGCCCUUAGAGAACUUUUCUUUUGGGGGGCUGCAGACAAGUGCCCAGGGUUGGAAGGUUUGAAGGUAAUAUGCCCGUGUGCCAGGAAGAGGCUGCUGGAGGAGGGGCUAGAUAUCCCAGUCUAACAACUGCCUAGGGAGAACAUCUAUUUCUUUUUUUUAAUUAAUUAAUUAAUUUAUUUAUUUGCAAGUCAGAGUUACACAGAGAGAGAGAGAGAGAGAGAGAGAGAGAGAGGUCGGUCUUCCAUCCACUGGUUCACUCCCCAGGUGGCCGCAAUGGCUGGAACUGCACCUAUCUGAAGCCAGGAGCCAGGAGCUUCUUCUGGGUCUCCCAUGCAGGUGUAGGGGCCCAAGGACUUGGACCAUCUUCUACUGCCUUUCCAGGCCACAGCACAGAGCUGGAUUGGAAGUGGAGCAGCCGGGUCUCAAACCACCGCCCAUGUGGGAUGCCAGCGCUUCAGGCCAGGGCGUUAACCUGCUGCACCACAGCGCCGGCCCCAGAACAUCUAUUUCACACACAGUCUGAGCCAAGUGCUUUCUGUCUGCUGUGGCAAUUGAAUUCCUCAAAUAGUCCUUUGAAGUGGGCUUUAUUAUCUUCACUUUAUAGAUGGCAAUGCUAAAGCUUAGGCAACGUGAUUUGCGCAAAGCCAGUCUUCUACCAAGUGUCAGAAUCACUAUUCCAUUGCAAUCCUACCUGAUAACCAGGCCAGUGUUCUUAAUUAUUAGCUGUAGACUGACCUUGCUGCUUCAGAACUUAAAGAUUCUGAGAAUUAGGAUACUGGAACAUUCCCUGGGGAAGGGCUGAAGGUUUCAUGCAUUUAACUCUUCUCUGUGCAAGAGGUAGUAAAAAGAAAAACCAGGAAAUUUAUCCUGGGGUUUUCCCACUCUAUAUGGGAAAAUGAGCACUCCAGAAUUGGCAAGCAAGAGACCCCCUCAGGCUCUUGGUGGACACUGAACUCUGUGGCCAGCUGAGGCAGAGGAGGCCAGCCACGGGCCCGCUGUGCAGGGCCUAGGUCUGCACUUGGUGGAGCAGGACUCCAACAGAUGGCAUCCGCAUGAUGACAUGAUAAAGCGGAAGCCAGUGUUCAGGAAUGUAGGAAGGACCUCACGGUCUGUGGUGAGUUUUCCCAGGUGUGCUCUCCUCAGGCGAGUGAAGAGUGAAGGGUGGUGGCUAGCAGCCUUCACCUGAGUGGAGAUCUUCAUGGUUCUAUCAUGUUCGGAAAGAACCUUGCAAAUGAGAGUGCCGGUUCCUGCUGAGUCCCCCUGGGCAACAGUGAGGGUGUCUGGAAACCGGAAGAGUAACCAGUGCGCGUCUUAGAAAGAGGAAGAGGUGUUCUUGCUAGCUGUGGGCCAGGCAGAAUUCCAGGGAGGAGUAGCUAAAGGAGCAGCUGCUGAGUGCCCAGGGAGGGAAAGCAUGGUAAGCCAGACUUUCUGUGUGGCCUCCCUCAAAAUCAGUCAUUUCCCUUCCGCCGGUGCCAAGCUUAGACUCGGUGGUUCUCAGACUGGGCUAUAUCUGAGGAUGACUUGGAAGCGAUGUCCCACUUCUCUGGAAGUCUCAGCAGUGGUGAUUUUUUAAAAAAUUAAACUGUAGUGAUUGUUUAACAGAAUUAUGUCUUUUAUAUAAUAUACAUAUCAUAUACUUUAUACAUUUAAAGUGUUUAAUUCAAGGAUAAGUGUUUGGCAUAGCAGUUAAAAUGCCAGUUAAGACACUAGCAUCCAAUAUUGGAAUGCCUGGGUUCGAGUCCUGGCCCAGUCCCAAAUGCAGCUUCCUCCUUACGCAGCCCUUGGGAGGCAGCAAGGGAUGGGUCAAGUAAUUGAGUCCCUGCUAUCCACGUGAGAGAUUUGGAUUUAGUUCCAGGCUCCCAGCUGUCAGUAUGGAUUGGCCCAGCCAUUUGGGGAUUAAAUCAGUGGAUGAGAGAUCCCAGUUUCUCUCUGAAUUUCGAAUAAAUAAAACUUUAAAGUCUACAAUUUGGACCUAGCAUUGUGGCUCAGCAGGUUAAGCUGCCACCUGUGAUGCUGGCAUCCCAUAUGAGCACCCAUUCGAGUCCUCCAGCUGCUCUACUUCCAAUCCACCUCCCUGCUAAUGCACUUGGGGAAGCACUGGAAGAUGGCCCAAGUGCCUGGGGUCCCUGCACCCCCAUGGGAUACUCAAAUGGAGCUCCAGGCUCCUGGCUUUGAUCUGGCUCAUCCCAGGCUGUUGCAGCCAUUUGGGAGAUGAACCAACAGAUGAAAGCUGUCCCUCUCUGUCUCUCUGUAACUUUGCCUUUCAAAUAAAUACUAAAAAAAUUAAAGUAUACACUUAAAUGGAUUUUAUUGUAUUCAUAGAGUUGUACAGCCAUCACUGCAGUACCUUUUCACCACCACCACAAUCUUCACCUUUCCAGCCCGAGGCAUCUGUUAGUCUCCUUUCUGUCUCUAUGGAGUUGCGUAAACCCCACAUUCACCAUAAAUGGAAUGAUACAAUCUGUGGCUCUUGUGCCUAGAUUCUUUCACUUAGCAUACUUUUUUUUUUUUAAUUUACUUAUUUAUCUGAAAGGCAGAGUUAGAAGGAGAGAGGUCUUCUAUCUGCUGGUUCACUCCCCAAAUGGCUGCAACAGCUGGAGCUGGGCCAGUCUGAAGCCAGGAGCUAGCACAGGAGCUUCUUCCAGGUCUCCCAAGUGGGUGCAGGGACCAUCUUCUACUGUUUUCCUAGGCCAUAGCAGAGAGCUGGAUAAGUGGAGCAGCCAGGACACAAACCAGCACCCAUAUGGGAUGGGAUGCCAGCAUUGCAGGUGGCAGCUUCACCCAGUACACCACAGCACUGGCCCCAGAAUGUCAUUCUUAACCCCUUUGUAUCAGCAUGCUUUUUCCAUUACCUGUGUGGUUCCUCUCAAUGAUCAUCCUUACUUCUAGGACACACCAGGAAACAGCUAAGGGAGAAUUCAGUGUUGUGUAACUCCCCUGACCUUAGUUUUAAUCCACUUGAAGCAACCCAUCCUUGCCCCGUUUCCCAUCCUGACCUCCCUCUUUGUGGUUUCUCUGGUUUUCAGCCUUACUUUUACUUGGGCUUGAGUCACUCCUUUACACUUGAUGUUCAGGUUCAGGAAAGUUGUUCUACCAUGUACUCCUGGUUCCUCAUCUGCCCAGCAAAAAAAAACUAAGAAAUAAAGAUGGAGUACUGGGAAACACAACAUUUAAAGAAAAAGAAAUAACAACUUCUUAUCUCUGAGACUAAUUGAUAAAAAGGAUGCAGAGUGCUUAGCGUCUUGCAUAAACCACGCAGGCAAUAGGUGUUAACACUGACCACUGUCUUGCUCUUCUUGAGACUUGCUCUUGUUAUGAACUUAGCCUUCAGGUCUGGUGCUUUUCUGCACCAUCUGCUUGAUGAUGACCUCAAGUCCCCAAAGCCACAAUGCAGCUUCUUCCUUCAGCCCUGCUGCCUGGAAGAAACCCAGCCUCAGGGUGUCUCCCAAGGAGCCAGUCUCUUCUGGGCUGUGCACACAGCCCCUUGUCCUACCCUUAGGGCAGAAACGAAAGUCACUAUGGUGAAGGAAUAGGAGUUGAUUCUGUGUUUCUAAUUGGGCAGAUGUACACCUCGAUCACUUUUCUCCAUGUCAAGCUGCUGAAUGUAGGGAUUAAUUUGUAGCACCUCAGUUUCUAGACUAUGGGUGCCCUUCACGUGAUGUAACCUGCUUGAUGUCAGCUCUGCAAUCCCAGAACCAACCACUUGUGAUUAUCUGGGUUGCUGUCCAGUUCAGUUGAGCUCUAUCAAACACCCAUAGUUUCUUAGCGGCUUUGCUGUUUAUUUCAACUUCUGGUAAAAAGUGUGUUAAUUCUCUUGUAAUAGGGACAGCAUUUUGCUCUUGUUUCAGGGAAAAAAAAAAAAAAACAGCUUCAUUGCACUUUUUCCAGGUAUGAUUCUAUUAACAAGUGAGCCAGUCUCUCUGUAUAUACUACCAGUUAGGAUGCCUAGUUUAUAAAAAAGGUAGAGAUAGCAUUUGAUUUGUAGGGGGCGAGCCCCCAAGGAGCAAUAUGGGGGCCAAGAUGGAGGAGAGUAAGACUGGAGUGGCAAGAGGCAGAGCAGACUGAAGGCUGAGUGGUCCCCCAGGCAGAACUCGUCAUGUGGGGGUGUCAGCGAGAGAGAGGGAGAGAGGGAGGGAGAGAGAGAGAGGGAGAGAGAGAGAGAGGCAGGCUGGCUUUGAAGGGAUCAAUGGAACCUGCCAGUCCUAGAUGUUAAGCAAUUCUCCGACUCUGUAUCCGAAGGGAGAUCCAAUCACAUUUGGCAUUCGGUGAUGUUUAGGCAUUUACAGACUCUUUGGGGACACUCAUAUGAAAAUCUCACAUCGUCCCACAGCUUUCUGUCAUCCUCUAGCCUCUGAGUCACACCUCCCUGCUGACAAAAUGUAAGGCCUUUCCUUGCUGCCCCUCAAGGGAAUUUUGGUCUUGUCUUAGUAUGUUUUCUGGUGCUAUAACGGAUACCAUGGACUGGGUAAUUCAUGGAGAACGCUCACAGUUCUGUAAGCUGGGGAAGUCCAGCAGCACGGUGCUAACACCUGCUCGGUCUCUGGCAAGGCUCUUGUUGCAUCAAACCAUGAUGGAGGGCAUCUCAGGGCGAGGCAGAGGAGUGUGCCAUAGAGCUCCCUUCUGUAACAGAGCCACUCCCAUGAUGACCCAUUCAUCUAUCAAUCCCAUUAUGAGGUCAGAGCCUUAUGACCCAAUACCUCCCAGAGGCCCCUAAUUUCAAUACUGAUGUACUGGGGACUUCAUUCCAACACUUGAAACUUGGGGGAUACAUUCAGACCAUAGCAGGUCUCUGUCUACUAACAUUGCCAAUCAUUUCCUUAGGCCUCCGGUUUAUGUCAGCUCCUGCUAUAACGUACACUGCAUAAGGGCAGAAGCCGUGUCGUCUUUUCUGAGACAUUCAAGUUAUUUACAAUAAUGUUUGGUUUAUAGUAAGUACUAAGCAAACAUUUGUUGAAAUAUGAUGAACAAAGCAAAGGUUGUGUAUCAUGGACUACUGAAGAAAAAGCAAGCAGGAAGAGAACUGAGUGAAGACUCCUGGUUUUGGUGUAGAAAGUCAUUUGUGACCUAGGGUAGAGCAUUUUCAGUAGAGUGUGUUGUGCAAGGAAAAAUGAAGCAUAGUAGUUGUUAUUUGAAAUUUGCUUUUUGGAAAAGGUAAUGAAGGCCUCUGGUUUCGGGAGGCCAGGAAACCGGGCUGCAAUGUUAGACUAGUCUGCUCUAUGAUAUGCUGUCUGUUAUGUCUCAUGGAGUUUGAAAAUAUGGGGAGUCUUCAAAGAGUUCAUGGCAAAUGUAUAUUAUAAAAAAGUGAAUUUCCAGUUUUUAUAUCAAAGCAAACUAAUCAUUUAAAAUAUUCAUUAUUUGAGAAAGAUGGAUAGCAAGAGUGAAAGGGAGAGAGAGAGAGAAAGUGAGAGAGAGAGAGAGAGAGAGAGAAAGAGAGAGAGAGAGCUCUCAUCACUCUACAAAUCCCUACAAUGACCAAGACUGGGCCAGUGCCAAAGUUGGGAGCUGUGAACUCAGUCAGGUCUCCCAUGUGGGUAGGAGGGACCCAAGUACCUAAGCCAUUACACCUGCUGUCGAGAGUCUGCAUGAGCAGGAAGCUGGAGUCAGGAGCAGAGCCAAGCCUCAAUCCUGGGCACUGUGAUAUGGGAUGUGAGUGUCUUAUCCUGUAUAAUAACCACGAGGCCAAUGCCUGCCCCAACUUAUCUUUCAAUUCCAUUUUUCCACAGACUUUUUGAGGUGCCCUCAUAUUGGCCUUUAUUUGAUGAGACGAUGGCUUGAGAAAAUAUGUACUUGAAAAUAUUCAGCUAGGUUCUCAAGGGACUGUUCCAUGUUGCAUAAGAUAAUUGGAGACAGAGUAUAAGAAUAUAAAUAUGCAGGAAGGAAGUUUCUGUUUUCAUUAGAGAAAGAGUGACAGAGUAUUUUGUUAAUGUAGUUAGACAUUUGGUGUCAGGCUUCAUCCAGGGAUAUCUUAGUGUUCACUGACAUGACGCUGCUUUCUCCUGUUUGCUGCACGCCUUUCCUGCAUUGUGUGGGUUCAGCGUUAUUUGACUUCACUGUAAGUCACCCUUUGACACCAUAGAAAGGACUUCUUCUAGAGGAGUUCAUGAACAAUGCCAGAGUUGAACUGCAUCCCCGCUGAACAUUGUUCUUCUUUAUCGUUCUCUGAGGCAUCCAUGGAAGGUGUUGCUAUCCUGAGGGAGAGAGUGGAUUGAAACUUAAUUCACCUGAAAUUCAGGUGUUCUGACCUUAUCACCCCAUGCCUAUAAAAAUUGAAAUUUCCUUUUAAAUGUAAAUUUGUGGUGGCUGGGAGCCUCUCUCCCUGGUUUGGUGACUGGAAGCUGUCUUCCGGCCUGAGGGCCUGGGAGCCAUUUUGUGUGGAAGCAAGGUGGGUCCCUGGUGGUCUUUUGCCUCAGUCCCUUUUCAUCUGGCCACCUGAGGUGACCCUCAUGAGAUUGUACAGGGGACAGCUGUCUAUGUGUACUGCUACUAUUACUGCUCCCUCAGGAGGGAACACUGUUCUCCCCUUUGCUAUUCGCACUCAAGAAUGGACAGAUCUUUCCUCUAGGUGAUCACAGUACACCAUACACCUUGCUCUAACUUUCAGCAAGUAUUUACUCCAUGAAAAAUUAACAGAAGGAAAGUUCAACAUGGACAGUAACUUAAGAACUAAGAGAGGAUGUGGCAACCUUAGAGCUUACAGGCUUGGGGCCAUCAUGUCUUAGGCUCAGUUUCCAGAAGCUGACUUGGAGACAAGGAUUUGAGAGCAAGUGGUUCGUUUGGUGGAUGAUCCCGGGAAGCAUUGGUAGGGGACUGGAGAAGUCAGCCCAGGAAGGGAAGAACUCUAGGUAGGGUGCAUCACUCAGAAGAUUAUCACUGAGGACGCUGGGGCUCAAUCCAAUUAGGAACCUUUGAGAGAUGGAAUAGAAUCUUGGACCAAUGUGGUAACCACCAGACACGUGGCCACUGAACAUUUAAAAUGAAUAUACUCAGAACUGAGUUGUGCUCCAAAUAUAGAAUGCACUUUGGAUUUCUCACAGUACCAAAAAAUGUAAACGAUUUCUUUGAUUUUUAAUAUUGAUUCUAUGUUUACAUCCUUUGAGAUAUAUGGGGUUAAAUAAAAUAUGUUAAAAUUAAUUUUACCUAUUUAAUUUUAUCUAUUUUUUUUAAAGAAUUAUUUUAUUUAUUUGAAAGACAGAGUUACAGAGAGAGGUAGAGCCAGAGAGAGAGAGAGAGAGAUGUUUUCCAUUCUGCUGGUUCACUCCCCAAAUGACUGCAACAGCUAGAGCUGAGCUGAUCUGAAGCCAAGAGCCAGGAGCUUCUUCCGGGUCUCCCAUGCAGGUACAAGGGCCUAAAGCCUUGGGCUAUCUUCUACUGUUUUCCUAGGCUGUAGCAGAAAACUGGAUCAGAAGAGGAGCAGCCUCUUCUGUGCCCAUAUGGGAUGCUGGUGCUGCAGGCUGGGGUUUUAACCUGCUGCGCCACAGUGCCGGCCCCUAAUUUUAUCUUUUUAAAUGUGGCUGCUAGGAAUGUAAAAUUACAUAUGUGACUCAGGUCAUAUUUCUGUUGGACAAUGCUGGUGUAGGACAAGCUGCGAAUUGUCCCAUCAGAGUGUGUUUCCCAAAAUCUGAGUCUCUUGGUCAAGUUUGUAGCAGGAUAUUUGUAGUCCAGCCUGGAUUGCACAGAACUACACCACGUUCAGCUACUUUUCCUGCUUUCUUCUCCACAUGAAGGCCACACAGCUUACCUACAGCCCUGCAAAAAACCAUGUGAACAAGAACACAUAACCCCACAGUAACAAACCUUACCGCGUAAGUGGGGCAGGAUAGUUUAUUUUAAGUCAAGUUUAGCCAUGUAUUGACUGAUAGAGAACUGCUACACUUUUUUUUUUAAAGACUUAUUUAUUUAUUUAUUUGAGAGAGUUGCACAGAGAGAAGGAGAGGCAGAGAGAGAGAGAGAGAGAGAGAGAGAGAGAGAGGUCCUCCAUCUUCUGGUUGACUCCCCAGUUGGCCACAAUGGCCAGAGCUGUGUGGAUCUGAAGCCAGGAGCCAGCAGCUUCUUCCAGGUCUCCCAUGUGGGUGCAGGGGCUCAAGGACUUGGGCCAUCUUCUACUGCUUUCCCAGGCCAUAGCAGAGAGCUGUAUUGGAAAUGGAGCAGCUGGGACUCGAACUGGUGCCGAUAUGGGAUGCUGGCACUGCAAGUGGUGGCUUUACCCACUACGCCACAGCGCUGGCCCCUGCCAUACUUUCUUUAUCACUACCAUCAUGCUUUUCUUGAAUUUAAUUUGGCAAAGAAAACAGACCCCAAAAAGUAUUAUUAAGGUACUUAACAAAAUUUAAAGAAAUAGGAAAAAAUGCUUACAAUUAGAAAACAAAACUUGUCUCUCCGCAGUGGGUAUUCGGUAUAGUGGUUAAGACAGCAUGGGGGAUGCCUGCAUUUCAUGUUGGAGUGCCUUGGUUCCAGUCCCAGAUCCACUCCUGAUUCCAGCUUCUUGUUAAUGUAUACUCUGGUUGGCAGCAGGUAAUGGCUUAAGUGGUUGGGUCCUUGCCACUCAUGUGGGAGACCCAGUUUGCAUACCUGGUUUUGGCAUUAUCCAGUCCCUGCUGUUGUGGGCAUUUGGGAAGUGAACCAGAGAAUGUCUGUCUCUCUCUGCCUUUCAAAUAAAUAAGAUAAAUAAAUCAAAACCAUCAAUCUGUUUUCAAUCUAGAGAAAAUUUUUCUUUGUACAUUUUUUCAGUGUAUAUUAAAUGCUUAUUAUUAUUUCUGGAAGAAAGGAGGCAGAACGUAUAGUGUAUAUGCAUGAGUUAUCUUUGGAAAUAACAUUGAUUGGUUCCACCAAGGGGAAACAGGGCUAACAGAGGAGGGAAUAUGGAAAGGGAAUCUUUACUAUGUACCUUUUUAUACCUGUUGAAUUUUGUACUUUGUCAAUGUUUUACCUAUUUAACUUGUCUUAGUAAAAAAAUAAUCUAAGUACAGAAAUAUUAAAUGGUAGGUUAAAAUCCCAAGUAACAUAUUUUAAGCUUAAGAUGUGUUAUGGAAGGGCUGGUGCUGUGGCCACCUGUGGCCCCGGCAUCCCAUAUGGGCACCAGUUCUAGUCCUGGCUGCUCCUUUUCAGACCCAGCUCUCUGCUAUGGCCUGGGGAAGCAGUAGAAAAGGGCCCACCUAUUUAGGCCCCUGCACCAAGGUGGGGGACCUGGAAGAAGCUUCUGGCUUCUAGCUCUGUCCAUUGUGGCUAUUUGAGGAGUGAACCAGUGGAUGGAAGACUUCUCUCUGUGUUCCUCCCUCUCACUGUAACUCCACUUCUCAAAUAAAUAAAUUAAAUCUCACACAUACCAAAAAAAAA